This 11783-nucleotide long non-coding RNA is filed under the name Citrus x clementina. RNAcentral's name for it is "Citrus clementina (C. clementina) long non-coding RNA (CCLE_LNC002907)". Lineage: Eukaryota; Viridiplantae; Streptophyta; Magnoliopsida; Sapindales; Rutaceae. The record is from RNAcentral.
AAAAACCCAGUGGAUAAAAUGAUAUUACCAGCGAUAUUACUUACUGUUAAGUUGCUUCAAUUUUCAGGGACAACUAAGAUGAAAAACCUUGAUGACAAUAUUGACUCCUUGAGGAUUAAACUUACAAAAGAGGAUCUGAAAGAAAUUUCUGACGCUGUGCCCAUAGAAGAGGUAGCAGGAAACAGAGACCCGGAAGGCUUUGAUAAAGCAUCGUGGAAGUUUGCAAACACACCUCCAAAAGACUGCAAGGUUUGAACUUAAAAUAGUUCUGGAUGCUGCCUAUCUUACUUGGGGCUGGGAUGCAAUACUUUAUUCAAAUAAUGGCAGAUAAAUGCCAAAUUAUCUGUACAAUCUACUACUUGGCUAUCUGCCUAUUUGAUGUUAAACUUUGAUUAUUACGAUCUACUAUAUGUUUGGAAAUUUAGCAUGGCCAAUUUGUGAAAGGAAAAUACGCAUGUUUGAACUUUUCUAAGUUAAAGCUGAAUUCCAAGUUACUAUAAAAUCUUGCCAACUUGCUUUCCUUGAAAAUAAAGAUUAGAAAUAUCCAAAUUUUGGAUUGUAAUGAUUUUCCUGGAUUUUACUUCAUCAUAGUGUAGAUAUAUGUUGAAAUAUUUUCAGCCUUUUUGAGUUCCACGAAUGUGACAUGAAUGAAAUCUGUGAACCAUAUUUUAGCUCAAGCUGUUUCUCAACAAGACCUGGAGGACACUGGAUUGAAAAUAUAGUUUCUCAACAUACUACAUUGUCACUGCAACUUGAGUGGUUAAAUGAUAAAAGGUGAGUAUGUGUUGUUCAGAAAUAAGAAUAAUUGCAUAAAUUGUGAAGUUCACAAUACCAUUCAGGAGGCUAAAUUGACACAUUAAAAAACUUUCAAAUUCCUUCACCAACAAGGCACCAGUGGUCUUGUGGUAGAAUAAUACCCUGCCACGUAACAGACCCAGGUAUAGUAAUUAGCCCCACCUUCGAAUAAUUUUUAUUGUUGCCUUCUUUUGAUUAGUUCCAAAUCCUGCUUUAUUUUGUUAGUCCAUGGUACAAAGUACAAAACAGCAACACCAUUAACUCUCUUACGCCCUCCUUUAAUAAGAGUUAAGCUAAGCUACAAAGAGAGGAAAAGCUAACAGCUUUUCCAAAGAUGGCAGAAAAGAACAGAAUCCAAGUUCCAAGAGUGAAAUUUGGAUUUCCGAUUUGUAGUUUUCAUUUUUCUUUUUGUAUUUUUUUCCUUCAAUGCUGAUAAUUUGUUUUCUCUGACUGUGUUUUUGUGCUUUCACAGGUUUCAAAGCUGGGGUUUGGAUGCAUGAGCCUGAGCGGAGGUUACAAUUCUCGGGUCUCUGAAGAGGAUGGCAUCUCAAUAAUGAAGCAUGCUUUCAACAAAGGAAUCACUUUCUUUGAUACUGCUGAUAGAUAUGGACCAUAUAUACUAAUGAAAUUCUUCUUAGAAAGGUAAUGAUUAAGAAAAUGGAAUAAAAUGAAGUUAUCUUAUCAUGGAAUAACAUUUUAAAAGAAAAUCCAAAAUACAAAUAGGUUAUGUUUAUGCCAAAAAUUUAAAUAAAAAAAUAUAAAUUAGUAAUUAAAUUAACUUAACAAGGAUGAUGUUGCCGUAUUACACACAAAAAUAUAUUUUAUUUUGAUGAAUACUUAACGUUUGUAAAAUAAAUUAAAUUAAUUAGGAGUAAUAUGGACUUCUUAUUAUAAAAUAGCUUAAAUUGUUAGGGUAAGAGUUGAUUGUAGCAUUAUUAAAUUUAAAGGAGUAAGUAGUAUUUCUAACUUAUACUUGAGGAAGGAAUCUGUAAUUUUUCCAUGCAAAUAAGAAAUAUGUUUGUUUAAGGUAAUGGUAAAUAGCUACUCUUAGACAUUACUAAGAAAAUCAUAAGGUGGAAAUCAAAUCAUUGUUAAAAUUAUGUCAAUUUAUUUGGGGGGGAAAAAGUUCACUCCUUUCUAGUUUCUAGCCUUGAAGCAGUUGCCUAGGUUACAAGAUCAGCCACAAAGUUUGGGAUUACAGAAAUAGAUACCCCUGAGUAUGUACUCUGUUUUGUCGUGAAGCAAGCUUGAAGCACCUUGAUUUGAUUAUUAAUUGGUUUGACUUUCCUCUAAUCUUUUGGGUAAUUUCUAUAUAUGCUUUCACUAAAAACAAAUAAAUUUGCAAAGAAUACAUACAUAGAUAACUUUCUUUCAAAAUUAAAAAAAAAAAAAAAAAUGACCAACAAAGUGUUGGCUCCACUGGCAAUGGAGUUCCCUUAAGUGGCUUGACUGGGUUUGCUCCCCAGUUCGAGUCGCAGGGAAGUCGCCUUUGUUGGGAGAAUCUGUGCCUCCCGGUUCGAGCGGGGACUUCUAGUCUGAGUUGUGGUACGGGCUUAAAGGUGCCUCCCACAGUUGGGGCCCUCCCCAGGAUACCUCGUGAUUAAUAUAAAAAAAAAUGACAAGGAGAAAUUAUGAAUAUGAUGAUUCUUUAAAUAAAAAAUUUUACUGAUUUUCUAACAGCACAAAAUGCUUGAGAGGAAGAGAUUCUCAUAAAUCAAAUGUGAAAGGAUUAUGUUACCAUAAUAUAAAUAUGAAAAUGAAUUUUUCAUUUCUACUUAGAGCCUUGGGCCCAAACAAUUUUUUUUUUUCAAGUAUAAUACUUGAAUAGUUACAACAAAUGAUCGGACUAAUGACAUACACAAUACUUGAAUUUUCAGUAUAGAUUUAUAUUGAUGCAACAAAAUUGAUUCUCAUCUUCAUAGGCUAAGAAAUACAAAUCCAUUACUCAACUAAAAUUAUGGCGCAGAAGUUUUUGUUUUUGUUAAGGUUAAAAAAUGAGCAUAAAAGUAUACAUUUAACUGAUAAAUAAUUAGAAAAUUGAUAAAAUUAUUAAUUUUUUUUAGAAAAUUGAUUGAACUAGUCUGCAACAUUAAGUUUCAACAUAUCGUCCAAGGAUAGCCUAGCCAAGUUGGUAGCAAGAGAUUAAAUGUUCCAAUUUAAGGGGAUAUUCAUAGAUGUAAUCUGAAACAAAAAUGAAAUAAAAGUAAAAAUAAGCAAAUAAUGAAGUAAAAUCAUAAUCGAAUAAGAAUGCUAAGUUUUUAAAGAGGAGAGAAAUUACAAGUUAAGAUACGUUCAAAUUUCUUUGCAAACACACCCCUAAAAGAUUGCUAGGUUUGAACUCAAAAUAUUUCUUGAUGCUGCCUUAGUAGCUAUCUAACGCUUGGGGUCGGGAUCAAUACUUUAUUCAAAUAAAUGCUAAAUUAUCAAUAAAUUCUACUACAUGACUCUCUGCCUAUUGGAUGGAAAUUUGUAAAUUUAAUUCUGCCGAUUUUGUGAACUGAAAUUAUCUUUCGUUGUUAACUAGAAGUUAUAGCCUCAAGUUGCAAUAAAAUUUUGGCAAAUAGAGAUUGCAAAAUCCACCAGGAAAAUGCAGGGUGGCUUUUAUGUAUUUUAAUUCAGAUUGCUAUGUUGUUGCUACAUAACUGCCAUGUACCGAAUCAAAUGUAAACGCUUAAGGCUAUUUCUAGUAAAUAAUCUCCUAAAUUAAAAGAUGAAUUUGUUCCUACCUCCUUUUGGAGUUUUGGGUUCUGAUGCAGUGACUAUUCAAAUAUUGUUCUAAAAAGUUUAGAUACUUGACAUUCAAACUAUUAUGAAUAGUUAAUGGUCUUUACAUUGCUUGUAUUAUGAGGUCGGCAUGAGCCCUCAAUCAAAGAAGACACAAAGCCAUUGCAUUUGCAUUCAAGGGUAACAUAGGAGCCUAAAAUUUGCCACAAGAACAAAUAGAAACUACGGAAUAUACACUAUUGUGUUCAAAUUUCGUUCAAUUAAAAUAACGUCGUGGCACAUAUAUAAUUUAUGUUAUUAGAGAAAGUUUUUUAUGACACUAACGUACCAUGUUAUCAUACGUUUAUGCAAUAGAAUUGUAAUAUAUAUCCAUUUUGAAGUUGACCAACCAUGAAAGUGAGAGGAAACAAAAUUAAAACUUGGUGACACAAUAUAUUAUAUGGUCAAAUCGAGACUGUAAAUUUCUCUCCUAAGUUCUAACUGACAUUUUGCAAAGUCUAGGGGAUAUUUCUUAACUUUUAAAAUAUUUUGAACUUGUUUCCAAUUACACUGAACUUUGGGACACUUGUCAAAACUUUAUAAGUUCAUGAUUAAUCAUGAUAAAGAUAAAGAGCACGUGUCCCAGCUUAACACUUUUAGUCAUACGGAGCCUUCGACUUGGAGCCAAACCAGAAUCCUCUGUCUCAUUCUGCUCAUUGUUGACGUUAGAGUCAACUGUCUCUCUACUUAUUGAAACUUGAAAGACACCCAAAACAAAGAAACCAAAACUACAGCUUCAAAAAUGGCAGAAGAGAAACUCCAAGUUCCAAGAGUGAAACUUGGUACCCAAGGCCUCGAGGUAAACUACCCAUAUGUAAUUUUUUUUUUAAAAUCAAAUCCUGGAAAUUUGUUUUCUACAAUUGUGUGUUUUUCACGCUCUUACAGGUUUCAAAGUUGGGGCUUGGAUGCAUGAACCUGAGUUCUGGUUAUAGCUCUCCAGUCUCAGAAGAGGAUGGCAUCUCAAUGAUAAAACAUGCUUUCAGUAAAGGAAUCACUUUCUUUGAUACUGCUGAUGUGUACGGACAAAAUGCUAAUGAAAUUCUUCUGGGAAAGGUUAGAGUCAUUUCUUUGAAUUCUCUUACCUCUUAUAUAAUUCGGACAUAGGUCAAGUGAUAACUUAAGAAUCACAGUCCUGAUGAAAUAUGUUUGUUUAGGAAUUGGUGAAACCUCGUCGGAUUUUUUUGAAUCUUAUUGAAUUAAAAAAAAAAAAAAAAAGAGUACUCCUUCGAUUUCAGGCCUUCAAGAUGUUGCCCAGAGAAAAGGUACAAAUAGCCACAAAGUUUGGGGUUGUAGGACUAAGAGAUAAUGGCGUGAUCGUGAAGGGCACCCCUGAUUACGUGCGCUUGUGUUGUGAAGCUAGCCUGAAGCGACUUGAUGUGGAUUACAUUGAUCUAUAUUAUCAACAUAGAGUGGACACAUCAGUCCCCAUAGAGGAAACCGUGAGCGAUUUUUUUUUUUUUUUUUUUUUUUUUUUGGGCUAUCUGAAUUGUAGAGUUCUGUCCCAAAUUGCAAAAUUUAAAGAAUUAUUUUAGAAACUCUAUUACUUGUCAUGCUAUAGAUUGGUGAAAUGAAGAAGCUGGUGGAAGAGGGUAAAAUCAAGUACAUUGGAUUAUCUGAGGCCAGCCCAGACACAAUUAGGAGAGCACAUGCUGUUCAUCCCAUCACAGCUGUACAAAUGGAAUGGUCCCUCUGGACUCGUGAUAUUGAGGAAGAGAUAAUACCCCUCUGCAGGUUUGUUCUUCUUUCAGUGAAUACUAUCCGCAUUAGUCUUUUCUUCUACAGGCCUUUGAAGAGUGUCUAAGGACCUAUUUAUUUGUUCCAAUCUAGUAUUUUGUACCUAAUGUUUGUAGAAUUUUUUAAAUUUAAUUGCAUGCAUAGAGUAGAUUAGAUUUUCUGUGCAAGUGUAUGCUAAUAAAUACAAGGCUGCCCUUCUGAUACAUUGAGGUGGGCAGGGAACUCGGCAUUGGAAUAGUUCCAUACAGUCCUCUUGGUCAUGGAUUUUUUGGUGGCAAAGCUGUUGUGGAGAGUGUACCUGCAGAUAGCUUUUUGGUACUUUUUCCGAUCAAUGUUUAUCCGCAUCAUUUUGUUUCCUAAGUCAGUACUAUAUAAAAUGUUUUAAACUAGCAAAAGUAGUCUUACAGUUUCUUUAACUGUUUUAUAUAUCGUCGUACAUAUGAAAAUGAUACAUGUAUUUGUUUUAUAAGCAUUUUCUUCCUAGGUUCAAAGGAGAGAACCUGGACAGGAACAAGAGUAUUUAUUUUCGCAUAGAGAACCUUGCCAAAAAGUACAAUUGCACUUCUGCUCAACUAGCCCUAGCAUGGGUUCUUGGACAGGGGGAUGAUGUCGUACCUAUUCCCGGUAACUUCUUUCUUUCGAGUUUUUGAUUCAUGUAUUACCUUGAAGAAGUAUAUAGAGUUUAAAAAACCCAGCGGAUAAAAAGAUAUUACCAGCAAUAUUACUUACUGUUAAGUUGCUUCAAUUUUCAGGGACAACUAAGAUUAAAAACCUUGAUGACAAUAGUGACUCCUUGAGGAUUAAACUUACAAAAGAGGAUCUGAAAGAAAUUUCUGACGCUGUGCCCAUAGAAGAGGUAGCAGGAGACAGAGACCCGGAAGGCUUUGAUAAAGCAUCGUGGAAGUUUGCAAACACACCUCCAAAAGACUGCUAGGUUUCAACUUAAAAUAGUUCUUGAUGCUGCCUAUCUUACUUGGAGCUGGGAUACAAUAGUUUAUUCAAAUAAUGGCAGAUAAAUGCCAAAUUAUCUGUACAAUCUACUACUUGGCUAUCUGCCUAUUUGAUGUUAAACUUUGAUUAUUACGAUCUACUAUAUGUUUGGAAAUUUAGCAUGGCCAAUUUGUGAAAUGAAAAUACGCAUGUUUGAACUUUUCUAAGUUAAAGCUGAAUUCCAAGUUACUAUAAAAUCUUGCCAACUCGCUUUCCUUGAAAAUAAAGAUUGGAAAUAUCCAAAUUUUGGAUUGUAACAAUUUUCCUGGAUUUUACUUCAUCAUUGUAUAGAUAUAUGUUGAAAAAAUUUCAGCCUUUUUGAGUUCCAUGAAUGGGACAUGAAUGAAAUCUAUGAACCAUAUUUUAGCUCAAGCAGUUUCUCAACAAGACCUGGAGGAUACUUUAUUGAAAAUAUAGUUUCUCAACAUAAUACAUUGUCACUGCAACUUGAGUGGUUAAAUGAUAAAAGGUGAAUAUGUGUUGUUCAGAAAUAAGAAUAAUUGCAUAAAUUGUGAAGUUAACAAUGCUAUUUAGGAGGCGAAAUUGACACAUUGAUAAACUUUCAAAUUCCUUUACCAACAAGGCACCAGUGGUCCAGCGGUAGAAUCCCCCCCCCCCCCCCCCCGGCGCGGGUAUGGUAAUCAGCCCCAACGUCGAACAAUUUUUAUUGUUGCCUUCUUUUGAUUAGUUCCAAAUCCUGCUUUAUUUUGUUAGUCCAUGGUACAAAGUACAAAACAGCAACACCAGUAACUCUCUUACGCCCUCCUUUAAUAAGGAUUAAGCUAAGCUACAAAGAGAGGAAAAGCUAACAGCUUUUCCAAAGAUGGCAGAAAAGAACAAAAUCCAAAUUCCAACAGUGAAAUUUGGAUUUCCGAUUUGCAGUUUUAAUUUUUUUCUCUCUGUUUUUUUUUUUCCUUUAAUGCUGAUAAUUCGUUUUCUCUAAUGAUGGUCAGUGGGCCGUGCCGGCACCAAACGUCGGCCCACACAGGCUCGUGGGCUGGCACCGCACGGCCCACUAAUUUGGUGGGUCAUGUUUAUUUUUUUUAUAAGAGUCCGGCACGGCCCACCAGCCUAAUAAUAACAAUAAUAAUAAUAAUAAUAAUUUCAUAGAUCAUAGUAAUAAUUAAUGAAAAAUAAAAUUACAAUUUUAGAAUAACAAUUACAUCUAAUUUUAUUUGAACUACUAAUAUUAUAAUUGCACAUAAACUCUAUUGAAUGAAAAUGUAAUUUUUAAUUUAUCAUAAAAAUAUUUUGUUCAUAAUUUUAUUUUUUUGUGUAUAAAUAUGAAAAAUAUUUCAUUCACAAAUGAAACAUAUCUCCAUUAACUAUUAACUAAGUUAUGAUUUCAUAAAUGAAAUAUUAAUGUCGUAAAAUUUUUUAUUUAUCAUUUAUAAAAUCAUGAUAUUUAUUUAUCCAUUUAAUAAAUUAUAAACAUAAAAAAAAAUUAGAAUAUUUAUUUAAACUAGGACUUAAAUUAAUUUUAAAAAGCCUAUGCUAAAAAAAUAUAUUAAAAAAUUUAAUUUCAAGAUAUUUAUAAAAUCAUGAUAUUUUAUAUUUAUUUUUCAUUAAAAAAUUUUAUUUUGAUAUACUUUGACCCACGGGCCGCGUGCUUAGCCCACUAAUGAAGCGUGCUUAUUACGUGCCUUUUUCGCGUGCCGUGCUUUGGCCCAUAUUUAAUCGUGCUGUGCUUUUAAGACCCGCGUGCCUAAAAUUCUAGGCUCGGCACGACCCACGUGCAUGUCAUGCCGUGCCUCGUGCCCUACCGAAACGUGCUCGUGUUGUGCCGUGUCUUGUGCCACCCGGCCCAUUUGUCAUCUCUAGUUUUCUCUGACUGUGUUUUUUUGCUUUCACAGGUUUCAAAGUUGGGGUUUGAAUGCAUGAGCCUAAGUGGAGGUUACAGUUCUCCCGUCUCUGAAGAGGAUGGCAUCUCAAUAAGAAAGCAUGCUUUCAACAAAGGAAUCACUCUUUUUUUUUUUUAACUAAUUAAGCAUCAGGUUACUGUAUUACAUAGACAUUUACAAUUGCUAUGACAGUAGAUCAUUACACUGAUAUUUACAAUUAAAUAUAUAAUUGGGACUUACAUUAUUACAUUAUUAAUUUUAUGAAAUACAUGCCAAACAAAUAAUCCUUAUGGAAGAACGGUGUCUUUACUCCACUCGCAUUUCAAAAUGGAGAAAUACUUCACAAAUAAUUUUCACAAAAUUAUGUUUAAUUGAGGGAUGUUGAGUUCAUGGGGAUUCGAACCAUUGCCCUCAUAGUUAUGCUUAACUUUAAAGGCCAAUGGUUCACCACUGGGCUAAAGCCCAAGUGGCAGGAACCACUUUCUUUGAUACUGCUUAGUGCUGAUAGAUAUGGACCUUACACUAACGAAAUUCUUCUUAGAAAGUUAAUAAUUAUGAAAAUGGCAUAAAAUGAAAUUAUCUUAUCAUGGAAUAACAUUUUAAAAGAAAAUCCAAAAUCCAAAUAGCUUAUAUUUAUGUUAAAAUUCUAAAUAAAAAAAUCAUAAAUUAGUAACUAAAUUAACUUAAUAAGAAUAACAUUGUCGUAUUACACACAAAAAAAAAAUCAUUUUGAUGAAUAUUUAAUGUUUGUAAAAUAAAUUAAAUUGAUUAGGGCAAUAUGGACUUUUUAUUAUAAAAUAACCUAAAUUGUUAGGGAAAUAAUUAACUGUAGCAUUGUUAAAUUUAAAGGGGUAAGUAGUAUUUCUAACUUAUUGAGUUAUUUCCAUAAUAAUAACCUAAAUAUGUUUGUUUAAGGUUUUGGCAAAUAGCUACUCUUAGACAUUACUAAGAAUAUCUGAAGAUGAAAAUCAAAUCACUGUUAAAAUUACCCCUGAGAAGCCACGAAGUUUGGGACUACAGAAAUAGAUACCCCUGAGUAUGUGCUCUGCCUUGUUGUGAAGCAAGCUUGCAGCACCUUGAUUUGAUUAUUAAUUGGCUUGACUUCCCUCUAAUUUUGGAUAAUUUCUUUAUAUGCUUUUCACUAAAAACAAAUAAAUUUACAAAGAAUACAUGCAUAGAUAACUUUCUUUCAAAUUUAAAAUGAAAAAUAAAUUGCGAAAAGAAAUUGUGAAUCUGAUGAUUCUUUUAAUAAAAAAAUUUACUGAUUAUAUGGUCAAAUCGAGACUGUAAAUUUCUCUCCUAAGUUCUACAUGACAUUUUGCAAAGUUUAGGGGAUAUUUCUUAACUUUUUAAAUAUUUUGAACUUGUUUUCAAUUACACUGAACUUUAGGACACUUGUCAAAACUUAUAAGUUCAUGAUUAAUCAUGAUAAAGAUAAAGAGCACGUGUCCCAGCUUAACACUUUUAGUCAUUCUGCUCAUUGUUGACGUUAGAGUCCACUGUCUCUCUACUUAUUGAAACUUGAAAGACACCCAAAACAAAGAAACCAAAACUACAGCUUCAAAAAUGGCAGAAGAGAAACUCCAAGUUCCAAGAGUGAAACUUGGUACCCAAGGCCUCGAGGUAAACUACCCAUAUGUAAUUUUUUUUUUUUAUCAAAUCCUGGAAAUUUGUUUUUCAUGGUCUUACAGGUUUCAAAGUUGGCGCUUGGAUGCAUGAACCUGAGUUCUGGUUAUAGCUCUCCAGUCUCAGAAGAGGAUGGCAUCUCCAUGAUAAAACAUGCUUUCAGUAAAGGAAUCACUUUCUUUGAUACUGCUGAUGUGUACGGACAAAAUGCUAAUGAAACUCUUCUGGGAAAGGUUAUGGUCAUUUCUUUGAAUUCUCUUACCUCUUAUAUAAUUCAGACAUAGGUCAAGUGGUAACUUAGGAACCACAGUCCUGAUGAAAUAUGUUUGUUUAGGAAUUGGUGAAUAAUUACUUUUGUAUCAUAGAAGGGAAACCUUGUCAGAAUUUUUAGAAUUUUAUUGAAUUAAAAAAAAAAAAAAAGAGUACUCCUUCGAUUUCAGGCCUUCAAGAUGUUGCCCAGAGAAAAGGUACAAAUAGCCACAAAGUUUGGGGUUGUAGGACUAAGAGAUAAUGGCGUGAUCGUGAAGGGCACCCCUGAUUACGUGCGCUCGUGUUGUGAAGCUAGCUUGAAGCGACUUGAUGUGGAUUACAUUGAUUUGUAUUAUCAACAUAGAGUGGACACAUCGGUCCCUAUCGAGGAAACCAUGAGUGAUAUUUUUUCUCCCGGGCUAACUAUCUGAAUCGUAAAGUUCUGUCUUAAAUUACAAUAUUUAAAGAGUUUUUUAGAAACUAUAUUCCUUGUCAUGUUAUAGAUUGGCGAAAUGAAGAAGCUGGUGGAGGAGGGUAAAAUCAAGUACAUUGGUUUGUCUGAGGCUAGCCCAGACACAAUUAGGAGAGCACAUGGUGUUCAUCCCAUCACAGCUGUACAAAUGGAAUGGUCCCUCUGGACUCGUGAUAUCGAGGAAGAGAUAAUACCCCUCUGCAGGUUUGUUCUUCUUUCAGUGAACACUAUCCACAUUAGUCUUCUCUUUUACAGUCCUUUGAAGAGUGUCUAAGGACCUAUUUACCUUUUCCAAUCUAGUAUUUUGUGUCUAAUGUCUGUAGAAUUUUAAAAAAAAUAAUUGCUUGCUUAGAAUAGAUUAGAUUUUCUGUGCAAGUAUAUGCUAAUAUAUACAAGGCUGCUUUUCUUAUACAUUGAAGUGGGCAGGGAACUUGGCAUUGGAAUUGUUCCAUACAGCCCUCUUGGUCGUGGGUUUUUCGGUGGCAAAGCUGUUGUGGAAAGUGUACCCGCAGAUAGCGUUUUGGUACUUUUUUCAUAAAUGUUUAUCCACAUCAAUUUGUUUCCUAUGUAGUGUAUAAAUGUUUUAAAAUAGCAACAGUAGUUUCCAGUUUCCUUUAAUGCUAAUGUUUUAUAUAUCAUAAUACAUAUUAAAAUGAUGCAUAUGUUUGUUUUAUAAGCAUUUUUUUCCUCGGUACAAAGGAGAGAACCUGGACAGGAACAAGAAUAUUUAUUUUCGCAUAGAGAAUCUUGCCAAAAAGUACAAAUGCACUUCUGCUCAACUAGCCCUAGCAUGGGUUCUUGGACAGGGGGAUGAUGUCGUACCUAUUCCUGGUAACUUACUUUCUUUUGAGUUUGUGAUUCAUGUAGUGCCUUGAAGAAGUAUAUAGAGUUUAAAAAACCCAGCUGAUAAAAAUGAUAUUACCAGCAAUGUUACUUACUGUUAAUUUGCUUCAAUUUUCAGGGACAAUAUUGACUCCUUGAGGAUUAAACUUACAAAAGAGGAUGUGAAAGAAAUUUCUGACGCUGUGCCCAUAGAAGAGGUAGCAGGAGACAGAGACCCGGAAGGCUUUGAUAAAGCAUCGUGGAAGUUUGCAAGCACACCUCCAAAAGACUGCAAGGUUUGAACUUGAAAUAGUUCUGGAUGCUGCCUAUCUUACUUGGGGCUGGGAUGCAAUACUUUAUUCAAACAAUGGCAGAUAAAUGCCAAAUUAUCUGUACAAUCUACUACAUGGCUUUCUGCGUAUUUGAUGUUAAACUUUAGUCAUUAUGAUAUACCGUAUGUUUGGAAAUUUAGCAUGGCCAAUUUGUGAAAU